ACACUCCUGCGGGAGGCAGCAGUGGGGAAUAUUGCACAAUGGGCGCAAGCCUGAUGCAGCCAUGCCGCGUGUGUGAAGAAGGCCUUCGGGUUGUAAAGCACUUUCAGCGGGGAGGAAGGCGAUACGGUUAAUAACCGUGUUGAUUGACGUUACCCGCAGAAGAAGCACCGGCUAACUCCGUGCCAGCAGCCGCGGUAAUACGGAGGGUGCAAGCGUUAAUCGGAAUUACUGGGCGUAAAGCGCACGCAGGCGGUCUGUCAAGUCGGAUGUGAAAUCCCCGGGCUCAACCUGGGAACUGCAUUCGAAACUGGCAGGCUUGAGUCUUGUAGAGGGGGUAGAAUUCCAGGUGUAGCGGUGAAAUGCGUAGAGAUCUGGAGGAAUACCGGUGGCGAAGGCGGCCCCCUGGACAAAGACUGACGCUCAGGUGCGAAAGCGUGGGGAGCAAACAGGAUUAGAUACCCCUGUAGUCCCAUGAU
Molecule: ribosomal RNA, 476 nt
Filed under: uncultured organism
Description: partial 16S ribosomal RNA
Rfam family: Bacterial small subunit ribosomal RNA
Source: RNAcentral